RNAcentral lists this ribosomal RNA (479 nucleotides) under uncultured bacterium. RNAcentral describes it as "partial 16S ribosomal RNA". It matches the Rfam family "Bacterial small subunit ribosomal RNA", at positions 28 to 523 of the family's 1533-position model. The record is from RNAcentral.
GACGAACGCUGGCGGCGUGCUUAACACAUGCAAGUCGAGCGAUGAAGUUCCUUCGGGAAUGGAUUAGCGGCGGACGGGUGAGUAACACGUGGGUAACCUGCCUCAUAGAGGGGAAUAGCCUUUCGAAAGGAAGAUUAAUACCGCAUAAGAUUGUAGUAUCGCAUGAUACAGCAAUUAAAGGAGUAAUCCGCUAUGAGAUGGACCCGCGUCGCAUUAGCUAGUUGGUGAGGUAACGGCUCACCAAGGCGACGAUGCGUAGCCGACCUGAGGGGGUGAUCGGCCACAUUGGGACUGAGACACGGCCCAGACUCCUACGGGAGGCAGCAGUGGGGAAUAUUGCACAAUGGGGGAAACCCUGAUGCAGCAACGCCGCGUGAGUGAUGACGGUCUUCGGAUUGUAAAAGCUCUGUCUUCAGGGACGAUAAUGACGGUACCUGAGGAGGAAGCCACGGCUAACUACGUGCCAGCAGCCGCCGUAA